RNAcentral lists this ribosomal RNA (494 nucleotides) under uncultured bacterium. RNAcentral describes it as "partial 16S ribosomal RNA". It matches the Rfam family "Bacterial small subunit ribosomal RNA", at positions 30 to 523 of the family's 1533-position model. The record is from RNAcentral.
AUUGAACGCUGGCGGCAUGCUUUACACAUGCAAGUCGAACGGUAGGGGGCAACCCCUUGAGAGUGGCGAACGGGUGAGUAAUGCAUCGGAACGUGCCCAGUCAUGGGGGAUAACGCAGCGAAAGCUGUGCUAAUACCGCAUACGAUCUCUGGAUGAAAGCGGGGGACCGAAAGGCCUCGCGCGAUUGGAGCGGCCGAUGUCAGGUUAGGUAGUUGGUGGGGUAAAGGCUCACCAAGCCAACGAUCUGUAGCUGGUCUGAGAGGACGACCAGCCACACUGGGACUGAGACACGGCCCAGAGUCCGACUGGAGGCAGCAGUGGGGAAUUUUGGACAAUGGGCGCAAGCCUGAUCCAGCAAUGCCGCGUGCAGGAAGAAGGCCUUCGGGUUGUAAACUGCUUUUGUACGGAACGAAAAGGUCUGGGUUAAUACCCUGGGCACAUGACGGUACCGUAAGAAUAAGCACCGGCUAACUACGUGCCAGCCGCCGCCGUAA